RNAcentral lists this transfer RNA (60 nucleotides) under Ornithodoros sonrai. RNAcentral describes it as "tRNA-Leu". The record is from RNAcentral. Lineage: Eukaryota; Metazoa; Arthropoda; Arachnida; Ixodida; Argasidae.
AUUAAAGUGGCAGAUAAAGUGCGAGGAAUUUAAGCUUCCUAUAUGAGUUCUCCUUUAAUA